This is a long non-coding RNA of Cyprinus carpio carpio, 1794 nucleotides long. The record is from Ensembl. NCBI's taxonomy places the organism in Eukaryota, Metazoa, Chordata, Actinopteri, Cypriniformes, Cyprinidae.
UCUGAAGUUAUAUGAUAACAUUGUGACAAACAGUCCCAGAUUUGAAUCAAUAUUGAUUAAAACUCUUCUUUCCAGCAUAGCUCAACAUCAGUGAGAGUACAUUUUGGCAGAAUUUUUAUUUUUGGAUGAACUGUUCAACCCCCAAGUAGAACACACAACUAUCUGGCUUUUCUCGUAUUGCAAUGAUGAACCGUUUCUCUGCUUCUGUCACAGGUUGUCGACAUGCUGAUAGUCUUUCAUUGAGGAUCUAACCACUUCAACACCGACCACCAACAACUCCCCAUGAGCGAUUGAAGAGCACCCUAAAUAUACCAGCAGCACCUUCUCUCCACCAGUGGAAAGUUUUUGCUCACUUUAAAAUGUAAUUUUAAUUUUCCCAAAAACAUUUUGAUGUAGCACACCAGCAGGAGAAGUGACCGUGUAAAACUAGAACAUAACAUCUGCCAUCUACACACCUGAAGAACCAUGUACAGAACUGAGGAACCAGCAGUGAUGGAUUGUCAGGGAAUUUCACUGAAAUACUGCGCGAUUCUGAAAGCUGAACUAGUUUUUAUUUUUACCUUUAUAUGGUGAUUUAACAGCUUUGCGACUUGUGCGUACUGCACAUCUGCAUGUGUCACUUUAUUCCUAGCUCAAUAUGGCCUCUAAUGGCAUCAUCGGAUUGUUUAUAUCUGCAAUGUGUCCUCUUCCGUUUAAUGGGUUAAGUCGCCCAUCCUUAAUUCGGUCCAUUAGUCCAGUCACAGGCAAUCUUGGUGUACUUUCUGAGUGCAAUUAUAGAGGAACUGGAUGCAGAUGAUUUUUAAACUACUUUUUUGCAUACAGCAGACCUUAUGUUUAUUUUCAUUCAUUGAACUGGUUUAUAAAAAUCUGACUUCCUUAUGUUUUGGGUUACAUCAUUAGAACCACUCUGUGUUUAAGGUGUAUUUGUGUACGCUUUGUUACAGCAUUAACUGCAAAUGUGUUCUCAGUCUUACGUCAUUUCUAUUUCAGUUGACUAUAUCUGUUGUGCCUCUCACUAUCUGGUACUUUGGCCAGUUCACAGGGAAUUAUGGGUAAAGAAAUUAGAAGUAAUUUUGCACAGUUGCGUACUGACAGCUUAAUAUCCAAUGCGUUGUUGCACAAACUUGUCUCUCGCUUGCAAGAAUAGCUUUCUCUUCCUGAAUGUGUUCCACAGUUUUUUUUACCUAUGCAUGAUACUAUAGAACAAUGAAACAUUUGUGAGUGACUUUUCCUGGUUUAUAAGUUUCCAGGUUGUCCAUGUCAGUUAUUUAAGUGCUAGAAUUGUUGGUUUACUAAAACCUUAAGCAAUGCAAGAAUAUGUGUAACCUUUGAAGGUUCUUUAAAAUGUGUUUUUCCAUUACCACUGAAGUGCGGGCCACUGCUGAAACCAGACAGCUGUGAAUAGAAAUGUCUGCUGUAGAGUGAAAUGCAUUGCAGCUCAAGGAUGGAUGUAUCUAGGGUGUGAGAUCUACAUCUACAGUUCUUAAGUGCUGCACACUGAGUCUUUACAGCUUAAUAAACUUUCUUUCCCCGUAUGUCAUGUCUGGAGUAUGUAUGUUUAUAUUAGGACACAGAUUUGAUCUGUUAUGGAUCAGUCUUUCUCAAGUAGUCCAAAAAUCGUGUGACUAUUUUUAUUUUAUUUGUUUAACCACAGAAGCCAUCUUUGUGUCAUGGCUCUAUGAAUUUAAAUUGUAUAGAUGUUUACCGAAAACUCUAUAUCUCGACUAAAAUGUGCUGUUAUGACAGAAGGCCACUAUGGGUAUUAUGAAAAUUAAAAACGGUUGUGCAACCUCC